GAUCAUUAGUGAAGAUUCAAGGGCCAGCCAUACAGACGUACAAUAAGUGUGUCUCUGGCGGCUCGUAUCCACUAUACAUCCAUAAACCCGUGUGCACUGUUAAGGAGUAAGAAAGAAGGGGAGGGAGAGAGUGCAUGUGCUUUGCAUAUAACUCUCUCUCUUUCUCUUCCUUUCUCUCUCUGGUUAAUUACACAAACUCGUAUGGAUUUGUAUGAACGUGAGAUAUAUCGUUGGACCGUCACUGGCCAACAAAUAUAACACAACUUUCGACAACGGAUCUCUUGGUUCUCCCAUCGAUGAAGAACGCAGCGAAACGCGAUAGGUAAUGUGAAUUGCAGAAUUCCGUGAAUCAUCGAAUCUUUGAACGCACCUUGCGCUCUAUGGUAUUCCGUAGAGCAUGCCUGUUUGAGUGCCGUGAAUUCUCCCAUCCCAAGCGGUUUUUAUCAAAGAAUUGCUAGGCGAAGGGGUUGAGAUGGGCGUUGUUAUAACUGCUUUUCUUCUCUAGAAAAGCUCGCCCGAAAAACAGCUAACGCCUCUGGGCCACUUUGCAUCCGCUUCUCUGAGGGGAGAAGCGGCCAAGCGCGCUCUGAUCAUCAGGCAUAGCAUGAUACGUCAUUUGCUAUGCUGUAGGAGAGCAUUUGGUUGUGGUUAUACCGCGUGCGUUAUUUUUUUUUUGCAAACGCAAAGAAAAAAAAAGCC
This 699-nucleotide unclassified non-coding RNA is filed under the name Malassezia globosa. RNAcentral's name for it is "sequence contains 18S rRNA gene, ITS1, 5.8S rRNA gene, ITS2, 28S rRNA gene". The stretch from base 262 to 415 matches the Rfam family "5.8S ribosomal RNA". Lineage: Eukaryota; Fungi; Basidiomycota; Malasseziomycetes; Malasseziales; Malasseziaceae. The record is from RNAcentral.